Molecule: long non-coding RNA, 578 nt
Organism: Cynocephalus volans (Philippine flying lemur)
Lineage: Eukaryota; Metazoa; Chordata; Mammalia; Dermoptera; Cynocephalidae
Exons: 6
Source: RefSeq, a predicted model, not a curated record
UAUAGGGAGCUGCUGGCGCCGCGGUUCUGUCUUUUACGUGGGGAUUUGGGAGGUGAUUGCUGUGUCAGGAACAAUGGCGCCGUCUUUCAAUGCUGUACCAGAGCACUACUGUGGGUAUGCCAAGAUGUAUGAGCAAAUCCCAAAACGUCUAGUAGAAUAUUCAGUGAGAAAUUACAUGAUUAAAACCUGACAAUCUUCAUAGUGUCCUCGGUGUUGAAAAUACUAAUGAAGCUAUUGGCGUCAUUGACUAGCAACUUCAUUUUAAAUGAGGGUCGCUGUCAGCCCAAUGAAAGAGGCCAGCUUGCUGUGAAGUUCCUGAAGUGCAACAAUAUCUGGCUAGUACCACGAGGUUUGUUGUAUGGAAUGCUGGUAUUAAGGAAAACAUCCAGAAAAAGCUCUUCGUUUUACAAACAUCAAAAGGAAACAAACAAAUUUUGGAUUAUAUUGGUUUUUUUAAUGGAAAAGUAUUUGCUUUCAGCUAACCGGCCUUGUAAUCAAAUUCUGAAUGAAUCUUUCACCUUUAGUUGCCUGUUUGAAUUUAAAAUGCAUAAUUGUAAUUAAAAUUGAGUGAAAUUUUA